RNAcentral lists this transfer RNA (71 nucleotides) under Candidatus Pacearchaeota archaeon. RNAcentral describes it as "tRNA-Trp". It matches the Rfam family "tRNA". Rfam says of the family: Transfer RNA (tRNA) molecules are approximately 80 nucleotides in length. Lineage: Archaea; Nanobdellati. The record is from RNAcentral.
GGAUGCGUAGUUCAAUGGUAGAACAUUCGGCUCCAGACCGAAAAACGAGAGUUCGAUUCUCUCCGUGUCCA